RNAcentral lists this ribosomal RNA (724 nucleotides) under uncultured Bacillus sp. Its description in RNAcentral is "bacterial SSU rRNA". It matches the Rfam family "Bacterial small subunit ribosomal RNA", at positions 1 to 702 of the family's 1533-position model. Lineage: Bacteria; Bacillati; Bacillota; Bacilli; Caryophanales; Bacillaceae. The record is from RNAcentral.
CGCGGGAAUCGAUUAGAGUUUGAUCAUGGCUCAGGACGAACGCUGGCGGCGUGCCUAAUACAUGCAAGUCGAGCGGAUCUUCAUUAGCUUGCUUUUGAAGAUCAGCGGCGGACGGGUGAGUAACACGUGGGCAACCUGCCUGUAAGACUGGGAUAACUUCGGGAACCGGAGCUAAUACCGGAUAAUCCUUUCCCUCACAUGAGGGAAAGCUGAAAGACGGUUUCGGCUGUCACUUACAGAUGGGCCCGCGGCGCAUUAGCUAGUUGGUGAGGUAACGGCUCACCAAGGCAACGAUGCGUAGCCGACCUGAGAGGGUGAUCGGCCACACUGGGACUGAGACACGGCCCAGACUCCUACGGGAGGCAGCAGUAGGGAAUCUUCCGCAAUGGACGAAAGUCUGACGGAGCAACGCCGCGUGAGCGAUGAAGGCCUUCGGGUCGUAAAGCUCUGUUGUCAGGGAAGAACAAGUACCGGAGUAACUGCCGGUACCUUGACGGUACCUGACCAGAAAGCCACGGCUAACUACGUGCCAGCAGCCGCGGUAAUACGUAGGUGGCAAGCGUUGUCCGGAAUUAUUGGGCGUAAAGCGCGCGCAGGCGGUUCCUUAAGUCUGAUGUGAAAGCCCCCGGCUCAACCGGGGAGGGUCAUUGGAAACUGGGGAACUUGAGUGCAGAAGAGGAGAGCGGAAUUCCACGUGUAGCGGUGAAAUGCGUAGAGAUGUGGA